This 255-nucleotide ribosomal RNA is filed under the name uncultured bacterium. RNAcentral describes it as "partial 16S ribosomal RNA". It matches the Rfam family "Bacterial small subunit ribosomal RNA", at positions 524 to 776 of the family's 1533-position model. The record is from RNAcentral.
UACGUAGGGUGCGAGCGUUAAUCGGAAUUACUGGGCGUAAAGCGUGCGCAGGCGGUUCUGAAAGUCAGCUGUGAAAGCCCCCGGGCUUAACCUGGGAAUUGCGGUUGAAACUACAGGGCUAGAAUCUGGCAGAGGGGGGGUGGAAUUCCACGUGUAGCAGUGAAAUGCGUAGAGAUGUGGAGGAACACCGAUGGCGAAGGCAGCCCCCUGGGCUGAGAUUGACGCUCAGGCACGAAAGCGUGGGGAGCAAACAGG